RNAcentral lists this ribosomal RNA (506 nucleotides) under uncultured bacterium. RNAcentral describes it as "partial 16S ribosomal RNA". It matches the Rfam family "Bacterial small subunit ribosomal RNA", at positions 29 to 523 of the family's 1533-position model. The record is from RNAcentral.
AGUGAACGCCGGCGGUAGGCCUAACACAUGCAAGUCGAACGGCAGCACAGAGGAGCUUGCUCCUUGGGUGGCGAGUGGCGGACGGGUGAGGAAUACAUCGGAAUCUACUCUGUCGUGGGGGAUAACGUAGGGAAACUUACGCUAAUACCGCAUACGACCUACGGGUGAAAGCAGGGGAUCUUCGGACCUUGCGCGAUUGAAUGAGCCGGUGUCGGAUUAGCUAGUUGGCGGGGUAAAGGCCAACCAAGGCGACGAUCCGUAGCUGGUCUGAGAGGAUGAUCAGCCACCCUGGAACUGGGACACGGUCCAGACUCCUACGGGAGGCAGCAGUGGGGAAUAUUGGACAAUGGGCGCAAGCCUGAUCCAGCCAUACCGCGUGGGUGAAGAAGGCCUUCGGGUUGUAAAGCCCUUUUGUUGGGAAAGAAAUCCAUCUGGUUAAUACCCGGGUGGGAUGACGGUACCCAAAGAAUAAGCACCGGCUAACUUCGUGCCAGCAGCCGCCGUAA